Molecule: ribosomal RNA, 106 nt
Filed under: Pteropus alecto (black flying fox)
Lineage: Eukaryota; Metazoa; Chordata; Mammalia; Chiroptera; Pteropodidae
Source: RNAcentral
GUCUAUGGCCAUGCCACCCUGAAUGUGCCCGAUCUUGUCUAAUCUUGGAAGCUACGCAAAGUCAGGCCUGGUUAGUACUUGGAUGGGAAACAGGAUAUUGUAGGCG